UGGGGAAUAUUGCACAAUGGGCGCAAGCCUGAUGCAGCCAUGCCGCGUGUAUGAAGAAGGCCUUCGGGUUGUAAAGUACUUUCAGCGGGGAGGAAGGGAGUAAAGUUAAUACCUUUGCUCAUUGACGUUACCCGCAGAAGAAGCACCGGCUAACUCCGUGCCAGCAGCCGCGGUAAUACGGAGGGUGCAAGCGUUAAUCGGAAUUACUGGGCGUAAAGCGCACGCAGGCGGUCUGUCAAGUCGGAUGUGAAAUCCCCGGGCUCAACCUGGGAACUGCAUCUGAUACUGGCAAGCUUGAGUCUCGUAGAGGGGGGUAGAAUUCCAGGUGUAGCGGUGAAAUGCGUAGAGAUCUGGAGGAAUACCGGUGGCGAAGGCGGCCCCCUGGACAAAGACUGACGCUCAGGUGCGAAAGCGUGGGGAGCAAACAGG
This 429-nucleotide ribosomal RNA is filed under the name Chloroflexota bacterium. RNAcentral describes it as "Chloroflexi bacterium partial 16S ribosomal RNA". It matches the Rfam family "Bacterial small subunit ribosomal RNA", at positions 355 to 776 of the family's 1533-position model. The record is from RNAcentral. Lineage: Bacteria; Bacillati; Chloroflexota.